ACAAAGGUUUCGGUAGGGGACCCGGGGGAAGGUCCAUUA
Molecule: ribosomal RNA, 39 nt
Filed under: Pilobolus kleinii
Lineage: Eukaryota; Fungi; Mucoromycota; Mucoromycetes; Mucorales; Pilobolaceae
Description: partial 18S ribosomal RNA
Source: RNAcentral